Molecule: ribosomal RNA, 322 nt
Filed under: uncultured bacterium
Lineage: Bacteria
Description: bacterial SSU rRNA
Rfam family: Bacterial small subunit ribosomal RNA
Source: RNAcentral
AAUCAACGCUGGCGGCGUGCCUCAGACAUGCAAGUCGAACGCGAAAUUUCCCUUCGGGGAGAAAGUAGAGUGGCGCACGGGUGAGUAACACGUAGGUAAUUUGCCUUUGGGUGGGGAAUAACUCAGGGAAACUUGAGCUAAUACCGCAUAAUGCAGCGGCUCGACAUCGAGACAGUUGUUAAAGCGGGGAGUCGCAAGACCUCGCGCCUGAAGAGAAGCCUGCGGCAGAUUAGCUAGUUGGUAAGGUAAUGGCUUACCAAGGCGACGAUCUGUAACCGGCCUGAGAGGGCGGUCGGUCACACUGACACUGACAUACGGGUCA